Molecule: ribosomal RNA, 1464 nt
Filed under: metagenome
Description: bacterial SSU rRNA
Rfam family: Bacterial small subunit ribosomal RNA
Source: RNAcentral
AGAGUUUGAUCCUGGCUCAGGACGAACGCUGGCGGCGCGCCUAACACAUGCAAGUCGAACGAGCGAGAGAGAGCUUGCUUUCUCGAGCGAGUGGCGAACGGGUGAGUAACGCGUGAGGAACCUGCCUCAAAGAGGGGGACAACAGUUGGAAACGACUGCUAAUACCGCAUAAGCCCACGGGUCGGCAUCGACCAGAGGGAAAAGGAGCAAUCCGCUUUGAGAUGGCCUCGCGUCCGAUUAGCUAGUUGGUGAGGUAACGGCCCACCAAGGCGGCGAUCGGUAGCCGGACUGAGAGGUUGAACGGCCACAUUGGGACUGAGACACGGCCCAGACUCCUACGGGAGGCAGCAGUGGGGAAUAUUGCACAAUGGGGGAAACCCUGAUGCAGCGACGCCGCGUGGAGGAAGAAGGUCUUCGGAUUGUAAACUCCUGUUGUUGAGGAAGAUAAUGACGGUACUCAACAAGGAAGUGACGGCUAACUACGUGCCAGCAGCCGCGGUAAAACGUAGGUCACAAGCGUUGUCCGGAAUUACUGGGUGUAAAGGGAGCGCAGGCGGGAAGACAAGUUGGAAGUGAAAUCCAUGGGCUUAACCCAUGAACUGCUUUCAAAACUGUUUUUCUUGAGUAGUGCAGAGGUAGGCGGAAUUCCCGGUGUAGCGGUGGAAUGCGUAGAUAUCGGGAGGAACACCAGUGGCGAAGGCGGCCUACUGGGCACCAACUGACGCUGAGGCUCGAAAGUGUGGGUAGCAAACAGGAUUAGAUACCCUGGUAGUCCGCACGGUAAACGAUGGAUGCCCGCUGUUGGUCUGAACAGGUCAGCGGCCAAGCGAAAGCAUUAAGCAUCCCACCUGGGGAGUACGCCGGCAACGGUGAAACUCAAAGGAAUUGACGGGGGCCCGCACAAGCGGAGGAACAUGUGGUUUAAUUCGAUGAUACGCGAGGAACCUUACCCGGGCUUGAAUUGCAGAGGAAGGAUUUGGAGACAAUGACGCCCUUCGGGGUCUCUGUGAAGGUGCUGCAUGGUUGUCGUCAGCUCGUGCCGUGAGGUGUCGGCUUAAGUGCCAUAACGAGCGCAACCCCUCUCCUUAGUUGCCAUCAGGUUAAGCUGGGCACUCUGGGGACACUGCCACCGUAAGGUGUGAGGAAGGUGGGGAUGACGUCAAAUCAGCACGGCCCUUACGUCCGGGGCUACACACGUGUUACAAUGGCAGGCACAGAGAGACGGUUGUACGUAAGUACGAUCAAAUCCUUAAAGCCUGUCUCAGUUCGGACUGGGGUCUGCAACCCGACCCCGCGAAGCUGGAUUCGCUAGUAAUCGCGCAUCAGCCAUGGCGCGGUGAAUACGUUCCCGGGCCUUGUACACACCGCCCGUCAAGCCAUGAAAGCCGGGGGCGCCUAAAGUCCGUGACCGUAAGGAGCGGCCUAGGGCGAAACUGGUAAUUGGGGCUAAGUCGUAACAAGGUA